This 450-nucleotide ribosomal RNA is filed under the name uncultured bacterium. Its description in RNAcentral is "partial 16S ribosomal RNA". It matches the Rfam family "Bacterial small subunit ribosomal RNA", at positions 354 to 796 of the family's 1533-position model. The record is from RNAcentral.
GUGGGGAAUUUUGGACAAUGGGCGCAAGCCUGAUCCAGCAAUGCCGCGUGCAGGAAGAAGGCCUUCGGGUUGUAAACUGCUUUUGUACGGAACGAAACGGUCCGGGUUAAUACCCUGGGCUAAUGACGGUACCGUAAGAAUAAGCACCGGCUAACUACGUGCCAGCAGCCGCGGUAAUACGUAGGGUGCAAGCGUUAAUCGGAAUUACUGGGCGUAAAGCGUGCGCAGGCGGUUUUGUAAGACAGGCGUGAAAUCCCCGGGCUCAACCUGGGAAUUGCGCUUGUGGCUGCAAGGCUGGAGUGCGGCAGAGGGGGAUGGAAUUCCGCGUGUAGCAGUGAAAUGCGUAGAUAUGCGGAGGAACACCGAUGGCGAAGGCAAUCCCCUGGGCCUGCACUGACGCUCAUGCACGAAAGCGUGGGGAGCAAACAGGAUUAGAUACCCGAGUAGUCC